UAGCCAUGCCUCGCCGCCACCUCUCCUUCCCCCCAUUCAUCCUCUCGAGCCGCUGCCGCCGCCACCCCUAUCUCUCCUCCUCACACAUCCUUUCUCCUCGUCACAUCUGGCCGGAGGAGAAUGCUGCGGCCGCAUCCCCUGGCGAUGGCAGUGGGGGCGGGUGAGGCUGCAAGGCGACGAGCCAAGGCGGCAGUGCAGGGCCUCACAGGUUCUCGAUCUGGAGCGGCAGGGACGGACGCCGGCGAGGCUGGUCCCCCACCUCUCCUCACCUUCUCCGACGUUCCCGGUCUGGAGCGGGAGGGACGGACGCCGGCGAGGCCAGCCUCCCUUCACACACAGGUUUUAGAUCUUUCUAAACUAUUUGCUAUUGUUGUGUGAGAACUGAAUCAACUGAUGGAUAUCAAGAUUAUGUGGGAUGUUCUGCACAAUCAACUUGGGAAUAAUUAGCAAGUAGUGGUGUCAAUGGCAUCCGUCAGAGCCAUUUUGGUGGCACAUGCACACCACGUUCUGGAAUAACAUAAGUCUCACAAUCAACUUGGGCAGUUGAUGUAGGCUGCCUCAAUUUUCUGUCUGUGUAGCAGCAACAAGUUCAUGAAUCUACUGCUUGUUGCCUUUAUUAUUUUGAUCUAUGAAAAAAGAAAAUUUACCCUGUCAUUUAUGUAUGAAGGAGGAUGGAGGGAAUGUGGAUACGGCUUGGUUAGCAUCUAUUGAGGAAGUCACUAUGAAACAAGAGGAGAUGGAUAGGACUUUCAGAUCUGGCGUUCUCCCUGUCACUUACUGCCUGAUUUAUACACGGAAAUAAACAGAUAAUUUUACAGUCCGUACAUCGUAGGCCAAUAUAAAAAAGUACUUUUCCACUUCACAAAAUAAUACCUCAAAAGACACAUGUAUGAAGGGUAUACUGUUUUCCCAAUCAAAGUUGGAAACGGACGCGCCAAUGUCAUUGCUCGGCUUAUCAUUGGAGUCGACAACAGAGCUCCCAUCGCAACAAACUGGGCUCAAUUCUUUCGCAUGACAAAUAUGAGAGCAGGAGCACCAUAUGUGUUUGCCUUUGAGGAACUAGCUGGGGAGCUCCAUCUCACUGUACAGACUCCCUCUGAUAGUGGUGUAGGCAGCCACCGGCAUUAUCUGAUAAUAUAGUUUAGGUUCAGGACUUGCGUCAUGUACUGUUUUGUGGCCCGUGAAAUCUGCUUCACAUCACCUUAUUCUUUUUUUUUGCGGGUGAUCACCUUAUUCUUUCUGACUCGGCUACUUGGUUGUACGAACUGGAAGUACUCCAAAUGGUCUAAUUGUAGUUUCG
Triticum dicoccoides is the source of this 1300-nucleotide long non-coding RNA. RefSeq lists it as uncharacterized. Lineage: Eukaryota; Viridiplantae; Streptophyta; Magnoliopsida; Poales; Poaceae. The transcript has 6 exons. The record is from RefSeq and is a predicted model, not a curated record.